AAGAAAGUCUUAGGAACUGCUAACUCCUAAUUCUGACAAUAAACCUGUCAGCUCUCUUU
Molecule: transfer RNA, 59 nt
Filed under: Anilios australis (Southern blind snake)
Lineage: Eukaryota; Metazoa; Chordata; Lepidosauria; Squamata; Typhlopidae
Description: transfer RNA-Ser
Source: RNAcentral